AGCAGCCGCGGUAAUUCCAGCUCCAAUAGCGUAUAUUAAAGUUGUUGCAGUUAAAAAGCUCGUAGUUGAAUUUCGGGAUCAAGGGAUCGGUCAUGCCUUGGUAUGCACUGGUUUCAUUGGUUCUCACCUUCUAAAGAACCAUAAUGUCAUUCAUUUGAUGUUAUGGGGAAUUAGGACUGUUACCUUGAAAAAAUUAGAGUGUUUAAAGCAGGCUUACGCUUGAAUACAUUAGCAUGGAAUAAUGAAAUAGGACAUCCGAUUCUAUUUUGUUGGUUUCUAGGAUCGAUGUAAUGAUUAAUAGGGAUAGUUGGGGGCAUUAGUAUUCAAUUGUCAGAGGUGAAAUUCUUGGAUUUAUUGAAGACUAACUACUGCGAAAGCAUUUGCCAAGGAUGUUUUCAUUAAUCAAGAACGAAAGUUAGGGGAUCGAAGACGAUCAGAUACCGUCGUAGUCUUAACCAUAAACUAUGCCGACUAGGGAUCGGAUGAUGUUAAUUUUAUAAUGACUCAUUCGGCACCUUACG
Molecule: ribosomal RNA, 521 nt
Filed under: uncultured Glomeraceae
Lineage: Eukaryota; Fungi; Glomeromycota; Glomeromycetes; Glomerales; Glomeraceae
Description: SSU rRNA
Rfam family: Eukaryotic small subunit ribosomal RNA
Source: RNAcentral